GGCUUUGCCUGAGGCGGCGGCGGGGGUCGCGGUCGCCCACCCUGCGGCGGCCCGCUGUCAGUCGGCUCCCGUCCCCGGCCGGCGGGCGAUGGUGCGGCGGAGCGCGCGGACGCGGGCGGCGCGGCGGCGGGCAUGAGGGAGGAUGGAAGGGCAGGACGAGGUGUCGGCGCGGGAGCAGCACUUCCACAGCCAAGUGCGGGAGUCCACGAUAUGUUUCCUUCUUUUUGCCAUUCUCUACAUUGUUUCCUACUUCAUCAUCACAAGAUACAAGAGAAAAUCAGAUGAACAAGAAGAUGAAGAUGCCAUAGUCAACAGGAUUUCGUUGUUUUUGAGCACGUUCACUCUGGCAGUGUCAGCUGGGGCUGUUUUGCUUUUGCCCUUUUCAAUAAUCAGCAAUGAAAUCCUGCUUUCUUUUCCUCAGAACUACUAUAUUCAAUGGCUAAAUGGCUCCCUAAUUCAUGGUUUGUGGAAUCUUGCUUCUCUCUUUUCCAACCUUUGUUUAUUUGUGUUGAUGCCCUUUGCCUUUUUCUUUCUGGAAUCUGAAGGUUUUGCUGGCCUGAAAAAGACUAAAGUCCAAGGGGAGAAGCAGCUUGAGGAAGGACACAAGAAGGGAAUCCGAGCUCGAAUUUUAGAAACUGUGGUCAUGCUUGUCCUUCUCGCACUCCUUAUUCUCGGGAUAGUGUGGGUAGCCUCUGCACUCAUUGACAAUGACGCUGCAAGCAUGGAGUCUUUGUAUGAUCUCUGGGAGUUCUACCUACCCUAUUUAUAUUCCUGUAUAUCUCUGAUGGGAUGUUUGUUACUUCUCUUAUGUACCCCUGUGGGCCUUUCCCGCAUGUUCACAGUGAUGGGUCAGUUGCUGGUGAAGCCAACAAUUCUUGAAGACCUGGAUGAGCAAAUUUAUAUUAUUACCCUAGAGGAGGAAGCCCUCCAGAGACGACUAAAUGGACUGUCUUCAUCAGUGGAUUACAACAUAAUGGAUUUGGAACAAGAACUUGAAAAUGUGAAGACUCUUAAGACAAAAUUAGAAAGGCGAAAAAAAGCUUCAGCAUGGGAAAGAAAUUUGGUGUAUCCUGCUGUUAUGGUUCUCCUCCUUAUUGAGACAUCCAUCUCGGUCCUCUUGGUGGCUUGUAAUAUUCUUUGCCUGUUGGUUGAUGAAACAGCCAUGCCAAAGGGAACAAGGGGUCCUGGAAUAGGAAAUGCUUCUCUUUCUGCUUUUGGUUUUGUGGGAGCUGCACUUGAAAUCAUUUUGAUUUUCUAUCUUAUGGUGUCCUCUGUUGUUGGUUUCUAUAGCCUCCGAUUUUUUGGAAACUUUAUUCCCAAGAAGGAUGACACAACUAUGACAAAGAUCAUUGGGAAUUGUGUGUCCAUCUUGGUCUUGAGCUCUGCACUGCCUGUGAUGUCAAGAACACUGGGACUUGUUAUUGUUUUGACAUCUGCUUAUGGUGUGCUAAUCUCGAAAAUGCCAAAAGAAUCACUAGAUUUGAUCUACUUGGAGACUUUGGAAGGUUUAAUUGGCUGGGAAAUUUCUAUAUUGUAUUAUCCUACAAUUUGCUUUUUGCUAUUGUGACCACAUUGUGUCUGGUCAGAAAAUUCACCUCUGCUGUACGAGAAGAACUUUUCAAGGCCCUAGGGCUUCAUAAGCUUCACUUAUCAAAUACUACAAGGGAUUCAGAAACAUCCAAGGCAUCUGCAAACGGGCAUCACAAAGCACUGUGAGACAUGCAGCAGCACUCUGCAAUCAAGAGAUCUGGGACCCCCACACUCCUGACAUGCCUGUCAGUCAGAAAUGACUCGCACUGACCAUGCUUCACAUUUAGGGCCUGAACUUGGCAGUGCCAUUUCUUUCAUAAGCUCCUAAGAACUUGGUUGCCACAGGCCCUCUUCUCAUUUAACUUUGUGACGAAUCCCGCAGUUGCCAGCCAAACGCAGGCUCCUUAGGGCAGCACAUUCUUCUGUGGAUACAUUUGCUUGCACCAAUUGAUACAAUCACCCAUAUGAGAAUGCUAGAAAAGGCAAACUUUGGGGGCCUUCUAAGAAUUCAGUUAAAUACCAUUAUAUAUUUUAUUCAAAAUGGAGAAGCUGACGUGAAAGACAUUCUUGGUACUUGGAUGUGAAGUGAAGGCCCUGCAAAAAUGCAGGUUUAUAGGUGCCGUUAUUUCAGUGGGUGCAUUGGAGCAGUAGUUUGCAAAUGAUAUUUUUCACUUCCUUAAAGAAAAAGACAAAAGCAUAGUUCUGGUUUAUAUUUCAGAAUGAUAUUGAUUGGACUUUGAGUCAAGGGAAAAAUAGAAAAUUCUUUCAAAACCCGGUUCAUGCUAGGACACCACGGGAAUACCUUCCUCUGUACAGUGUAGUAGACUACAUAGGAUGUAGUCUUGUAGUUCUGUACAAGAUUAUGCACUUGUAGUUCUCUGACAUCUUUUGUGUAUGUAAUUUAGUAUUACCUCUCAUAACAUAGUUGCCAGUGUCGAAUACACUUGUAACUUGGAUUUUGCCUUAUAGGCUAUAUGUACACUUUAUUUUUUUAAGCAUUUUUUCAAAAUCUCUCAGUUCCUUGUGCUCCUGUGUCUGUUAUUAAACUACAAAUGCUCUGUGGUAGAACCCCCCCCCCCCACGCCCCGUCACCACAUUCUUCAGGCCUUGGUUACUUUUAUAUAUGCCAGUUUACACCUCAGAUUUAUAAACGUUUCCACUUUAACACCCAGAUGCACAUUGUCAGUGUUCAUGAUGUGAGAAUAGUUUUGUAGUGUAUCAUGAUCUGAUAAUCAUUCAGUUAUUAAAUUAUAAGUACUUCUGGGGAUGGUUUCUUGACUUUAAGUCCACUGAAUAAAAACUAUGAAAUUGUACUCUGUAUUACCAUCCACUCAGAGUACUGAAAACUGUGCAUGCAGAAAUGAGAGAUGAGCCCCUUUGUACAUACUUUGUAGUUAUGCAGUCUCUAUAAACACAUAGGUUCACAUGCACUAUGUGUAUGGCAACAAAUUGUCUGUGUUCAGACAAAAGUAAAAGAACAUUUUUCCCAAAUUGUUGAGUUUAAAGGGUGUUUUGGAAGAAAUUUAUGAAAAUCAGACUGUAUAUAUUUGACAAAAAAAUUUCCACAUAGAGCCAAAAAAAUAAGAAAAAUUAAUCUCUGUAUUCCUAAAUUCCAUUGAGUAUACUUCUUUAUUUAUACCUCUAUAUUUCAUUCUGAGCUUCUAUUGUUAAAAUCAGCCCAGUUUUAAAAUAAAAGAACAUUUUGUGAUUCUAAACAACACUCCAUAAAUACUGCCAGUCUAGUAUUGGUGACUCUCUCCACAUAAGAUAUGCAUAUUGAGGAAAUUAACAGAAGUUGGCUGUUUCCUAAUUUCACUGGUAAUUACACUUCUUUAAACAUUAAUUGCAAGCUUUGAUUUUUACUGAAACUUGCUUGCAAUCCAUAUUUUGAGCAGACUGUCAAGGGGAAAAGAGAAAGAAAAUUUUUUAAAUAAAAAAAGUCACUUGUAACUUACACUGGUUUCAGGGCACAUCCAUAGGAAGUUCUUGGGUAUUUGUAAGAUGUCUGAAAAUUUCUGAGUAAAAUAUUAAACUUUUCAGUGUCUAUAUCAAUUUUUUGUUCAUUUGAAAGUUUCUUUCCAUCGGAAAAUUUAGGCCAGGUUUGGAUUAGUAAGCAGUGAAAUGUAUUAUAAAUUCUUACAGCUGUUACUGGGUGCAUCUUUGUUGCUUUUGAGACAGAGGAUACUAUUGCCGCACAUGAAGGGCAGUUUUGAACCUUGGGUCUCAGAUGCCUUUUAUGGGAGCAAAUACAGGUCGUAAUAUACUCUGUUUGCCACAUGAUUACAGCCACUGGGGGUUCUAUAAAGAGUAUAUUCCUGGUCAUGUACACAAGAGUCUUCCUUUUGAGUAAGAGACUUAGUCUAAAUGCAGGUGUUUCUAUUGGACAUACACUGGCGGCUGGCUGCAUGAGGGCAUGGCAGAAAUGGGUGGCAGGCAGCACACUGAGGCCAAACGUUGAAGUCUGGUAAGAACAGCGCCCCCCCCCCCCCCCCAGCCCAGUCUUUCAUUUGUUGCAGUUGUUGUGCUGGUGAAGGAGAAGGCGGCUGGCCUGACACCAGAACACCCUGUUCCCACAGUCAGGAGUGGCCCUUGGGAUGGCCAUUUUAUUCUUGUUGGGUAGGGGGCUAGGUGGCUGUGUGAAGUCAGAUGCUCCGUUGACUUUUUCUCACCUUAGGAUCAACUUUAAAAGGGCAUCAGACACUGAAGUUACAAAGUUUUUUGUGGAGACUUAGCCUAUUCUUAAUUGGUUCUGUAAUACUUAUUUUAAACUUACAAAUUUUAUAGAUAACAUUUGUAAUUUUUACUGAUUUUUUUCCAAGAUAUUUCUUAGAUUUAGUAUUUACUUAAGCUUUAUAUAUAUUCUAUAUAAAAAUAGACCUGCUCUAAAAGAAGAGACUAUGUGAAAAUCGCAUGCACAUAGAUGUUAGCUCCUUUAGUGCCACACUGAGAGGUUGAUUGAUUUGUGGAUGAGAAUGAAGUCUUCUGCAUGGUUUGACUCUUGGAAUAUUCAGGUAGUGUUCUGUGUGCACCUGAUAGUAGGGGCAUCAGUGUCUGCUUGCUUUGCUGGAGCGCAGUAGACCCGUCUGUGCCCCCGUAACCGCUUAACCUGCCUACAGCACAGGCUUACGUCAUUUGAAAACCCUAUGUGGCUUUCUUUGUUGUUAGCACAGUAUUAAAUGUAUAAAGGCAGAAUUCUUAAAAUAAUUUUUAAAAAUAGCAUUUAUGUAGUACUGACUUUUAAAAAACUGGUAUGAUGUUACUUUUAAAAUAAUGUUUAGAUGCACUGGUAUAUUACUUUUGUUUACAGAGUGUUUUGUUUACAAAUUAUCUGUUGGCCAUGUUUGUUUCUAUGAGAUACUUUUAGUGUGACUUUUUAAAUGUCUUAGAAAUUAAAGUUUUACAAAAAGUGA
Canis lupus familiaris (dog) is the source of this 4940-nucleotide RNA transcript. It is a transcript of the gene named limb development membrane protein 1, with no coding region annotated. The record is from RefSeq and is a predicted model, not a curated record. Lineage: Eukaryota; Metazoa; Chordata; Mammalia; Carnivora; Canidae. The transcript is spliced from 19 exons.